CUGGUUGAUCCUGCCAGUAGUCAUAUGCUUGUCUCAAAGAUUAAGCCAUGCAUGUCUAAGUAUAAGUUCUGUACUGCGAAACUGUGAAUGGCUCAUUAUAACAGUUAUUAUUCCCUGGCCGGUCAGUGAUUCCUUGGAUACCCAUGGUAAUUCUAGAGCUAAUACAUGCUUAAAAACCCGACUUCUUGAAGGGUUGCGCUUAUUAGAUACCGAACCAACCCAGGCUCUGUCUGGUUUUCGUUGAUUCAUAGUGUUCUGGCGAAUCGACUCGCAAGAGUCGAUGAGGCUAUCAAGUUUCUGACCUAUCAGCUUCCGACGGUAGGAUAUUGGCCUACCGUGGCUUUGACGGGUAACGGAGAAUUAGGGUUCGAUUCCGGAGAGGGAGCCUGAGAAACGGCUACCACAUCUAAGGAAGGCAGCAGGCGCGUAAAUUACCCAAUCCUGACACAGGGAGGUAGUGACAAGAAAUAUCAAUAUAAGACGUUUCUGCCUUGUAAUUGGGAUGAGCGAAACAUAAACCGCUUCUCGAGUAUCAAUUGGAGGGCAAGUCUGGU
Molecule: ribosomal RNA, 554 nt
Filed under: uncultured eukaryote
Lineage: Eukaryota
Description: SSU rRNA
Rfam family: Eukaryotic small subunit ribosomal RNA
Source: RNAcentral